AUGUUGUAACUUUUGAUAACAUGAGUAACCAUCUAACCCAAAUCACCAUCACUAACAGAGAGGCUGCUUCCCAUUACUUUUAUUUAUGUAAAAUAUUAUUUAAUAAUAUUUAAUAAACGACAACAGCCAUUAAAAAGUUGUUAAGCAAUUAAAUCAAGAGUACAAAGGCACCACAGUGAAAGCAUUAAAGUUAUAUAAAAAUGUAAAGUUAUGAAACUUUGCCCUCAGCCAAAACUGUUUGCUCUGAAACAAAUAGUAGUGAUAGCCGCCGACAUGUGUCAAGUUUGAUUAAUUACUUUGACCUUUGUGACCUCAUAAUAAUAUUAAUGAUAACCAUAUGUGACCUUUGAUCUCAUAAUGAGUUUCAGAUGCGGAAAUCAGAGAAGCGUGAAAUUCCGGCGUCAUCCGGGCUGAGCUAUGAUGUUUGUAGGUGUCCAUCGGUGGAAAAACCAUAAAUGAGCUGUAAAGUAAUGUUUUUGAAGAUUUUAUGGUCCGUUUUGAAACUUUCUCAUGGGAACAUCUGUGUGGUGAGCGAGCGCCCCUCCCAUCUACGGCGCACAAAUCAGGUUGCGUUCUGAGGCGCGCGCGCGCUCUCUUUCCCCCUCUCUCUCUCUCUCUCUCUCUCUCUCUCUGUGGGAGAUGUAUGAAAAAGAUAUUGUAUUUAAGGACAAAAUCAGAAUAAAUAAGCAAUUUUUUUUAACAGAACCGUUUUAAGACACGCAUAUAUUCUGUUGGUUGUAUAAAAAUAAUUGACCAUUCUUCGAAUGUGAGGUUUACAAAAUUUGUAUUUAGUUUAAGCUGGAAAAGGUGCUCUCACCCUCCGCAAGCGCGAGCAUGCUCGUGUGUGUGUUUGUGUGUGAGCGUGUUUGUUUGUUUGUGUGUGACGUGCUCCCGUCAUUUCUGGCCGUUGUGGGAGAGAGAAAGCUUUGCAAACAUUCUAAUUAUUUGUAUACUUUAAUGUUUAAAUGUUUCCCUAAUAAGUAUUUAUAUUUUAACUUAUUUUGCAUCAAACGAUUGUUUAAUAGUUUGUAUUUUAUUCAUCCUCUUCACAAUUGAAUGUUUUUAAACUAAAAAUAGUAACAUUUCGAUAGCUUUACAACGACGCAAUGGCUCCGUUGGCUAAGACGCUGUGACGCAGUUAGAUGCUCGUUUUGAUAACGUAUCUAAUCUCGGACGGAUUCAAAACUUUUUUAAUUAUCUACAUCUAAUCAACCUUUAUUCUACGAAUUUAAUGUUGGUUAUGUUUAUUUCACAAUGUUUUGCUUAUUUCAUACCCUUUCAGAAAUUCAGUUUCGCCUAACUGGAUCGGCAUUGUUGGUCUGUUUAUACAGAUGCAACCGUAAUUUUAUGGUUUGUUUUAAGAAGUUUGUUUAAAUAACAGUUCUAGGCGUCUGUUUCGGUUCUAUCCGUAACGAAAUAAAUAUUUCUAAUUAGACACGGCCAUCCUGAUUUUCACAGACUUAGGGUUCUGUUUAUGUAAACAGAAUACUAUGUUUUUCACAUGUGCUAGUAAUUAGUCAUGGUGAUAAUUUCAGACGCCCCAUCGAUUUAGUAGUUGUGUUUAGACCCUGGGAGAACACUUUUUAUCCGAUGAAUCAAAACAAAUAACAGCGCGACAUAUGCGUGACUGUUUUCUUUCUCGGAACAAAGCCGUUUGUCACUGUAUAUCACUCUAGCAGAUGUUUUGUAAUGAGUUAUAAUGUGGUGUUUGAGUGCUCCCUGCUGGUUAUUGAUGAAACUACAACCUCACGAUAAAUGUUUGUUUAAACUGUUGAAAAACAAAAAAAUAUUUAAAAAAAAUAAAAAAUAAAAAAUUGUUAGCUAAUUUCUUUACCUUUAAUACAUUAUUUUACCUUAAAAUAUAAUAUACUGUUAUUUAAACGAUACCAUUAGAAGUCGAAGGCGGACCGCCAAGGUGUUGUAAACGCCCACCCCUGCGAGUGAUUUAAGAGCGAGCGUGUUGCGGGGCCGUCCCACUUCCUUUUCGCGAUUUGGAGAAAGAUAGCGGUUUUUCUUACUAUCAUCAUAGAACAUAACGGUGAGUAAUUCCCUUUAAAAGCUUAGAAUGAAAUAUAUGAUUAGAACUUGUUUAUUCUCAACCUUAUCUCAAUUGAUAUAAACUAUCUUUAACAGUUUUCCUAUUAUAGGGGAAUCAAAUGGGGAACAAAGUGUUUUUAGCCAGAUUGAUGUCUUUUUUUAGUCUUUUUUUCCUGAUUUUUUUAUAUAAGCUGAAUGUUUUUAAAUAUUUUACACCAGAAAACAUUUUAUUUUGUAGUUUCUGCACAUCUGAUCGAUCAACAACACCAAAACGCGGCUGAACUGAUCGGUGAACAUCAACAACUCCAAAACGAGUUUAUUGAUCUCACUCAGGAAAUCGACGAAUGUGAAGAUCAGGCCAGACCGUGUGGCUCUAACAACAAGAAC
Onychostoma macrolepis is the source of this 2424-nucleotide long non-coding RNA. RefSeq lists it as uncharacterized. The transcript has 3 exons. The record is from RefSeq and is a predicted model, not a curated record. NCBI's taxonomy places the organism in Eukaryota, Metazoa, Chordata, Actinopteri, Cypriniformes, Cyprinidae.